This is a long non-coding RNA of Platichthys flesus (European flounder), 418 nucleotides long. RefSeq lists it as uncharacterized. Lineage: Eukaryota; Metazoa; Chordata; Actinopteri; Pleuronectiformes; Pleuronectidae. The record is from RefSeq and is a predicted model, not a curated record. The transcript has 2 exons.
CAUCAGGCUCAGUUCAAAGCCGUUCGAAGUGGAGAGGAAAGCUUAUCUGGAUAAUUUGAAAUCCCAGGGGACUCGUAGAUACCACUGUCUGAUGAAUGAUGUUCUUAACAGGAGAUUAUAGCUGCCACAAGUGUGCUCUGCAGCUGGCUCAGGACCUGGACUUCACUUCUGACCAUAAAGAUGUGCUUAGGCGGCCAAUAGAGACACAGACGCACUGUGUUCAGGAGGAGUGGAAUAAUGUCAAAAUGUCAGGGGCUGAGUGCCCUUCAGUUUCAAUUGAGUGUACCGUACAGCCCCUUGCACACGAUCAACACUACACUGCACUAGACGCAAGGUGGGAAUGUAGUUUUACUUCUUGUGUGUAGAUAUGACAUUUGAAGAAUAAAAGAGGAAAUGAUGAAUUCCAUUUAAAAAGCUA